GACGAACGCUGGCGGCGUGCCUAAUACAUGCAAGUCGAGCGGACGAAUCGAAAGCUUGCUUUUGAUUCGUUAGCGGCGGACGGGUGAGUAACACGUGGGCAACCUGCCCUGUAGACGGGGAUAACACCGAGAAAUCGGUGCUAAUACCGGAUAACACGAAAUGUCGCCUGACGUUUCGUUGAAAGACGGCGCAAGCUGUCGCUACAGGAUGGGCCCGCGGCGCAUUAGCUAGUUGGUGAGGUAACGGCUCACCAAGGCGACGAUGCGUAGCCGACCUGAGAGGGUGAUCGGCCACACUGGGACUGAGACACGGCCCAGACUCCUACGGGAGGCAGCAGUAGGGAAUCUUCCGCAAUGGACGAAAGUCUGACGGAGCAACGCCGCGUGAGCGAAGAAGGCCUUCGGGUCGUAAAGCUCUGUUGUUAGGGAAGAACAAGUAACGCAGUAACUGGCGUUACCGUGACGGUACCUAACGAGAAAGCCACGGCUAACUACGUG
This 498-nucleotide ribosomal RNA is filed under the name uncultured bacterium. RNAcentral describes it as "partial 16S ribosomal RNA". It matches the Rfam family "Bacterial small subunit ribosomal RNA", at positions 28 to 507 of the family's 1533-position model. The record is from RNAcentral.